Molecule: ribosomal RNA, 253 nt
Filed under: uncultured bacterium
Lineage: Bacteria
Description: partial 16S ribosomal RNA
Rfam family: Bacterial small subunit ribosomal RNA
Source: RNAcentral
UACGAAGGGGGCUAGCGUUGCUCGGAAUCACUGGGCGUAAAGCGCACGUAGGCGGACUCUUAAGUCAGGGGUGAAAUCCUGGAGCUCAACUCCAGAACUGCCCUUGAUACUGGGAGCCUUGAGUUCGGGAGAGGUGAGUGGAACUGCGAGUGUAGAGGUGAAAUUCGUAGAUAUUCGCAAGAACACCAGUGGCGAAGGCGGCUUCCUGGACCGGUUCUGACACUGAGGAGCGAAAGCGUGGGGAGCGAUCCGG